ACUGGUGUUGGACAGCAGCUUGGC
RNAcentral lists this non-coding RNA (24 nucleotides) under Cricetulus griseus (Chinese hamster). Lineage: Eukaryota; Metazoa; Chordata; Mammalia; Rodentia; Cricetidae. The record is from RNAcentral.